RNAcentral lists this non-coding RNA (27 nucleotides) under Homo sapiens (human). Lineage: Eukaryota; Metazoa; Chordata; Mammalia; Primates; Hominidae. The record is from RNAcentral.
UGCAGUGGUGUCGUGGGUGUUACGUGC